Long non-coding RNA from Colossoma macropomum (tambaqui), 276 nucleotides. RefSeq lists it as uncharacterized. Lineage: Eukaryota; Metazoa; Chordata; Actinopteri; Characiformes; Serrasalmidae. The record is from RefSeq and is a predicted model, not a curated record. The transcript is spliced from 3 exons.
CCCCCAGUACCACUCUGAAAGUCAAAUUGACCCCAUGGAUGCAAUCACGUAAAGGAGACAUUGUGUUUGUGUCUGUGUGGGUUUUGGAGAUUAUUAUUCUGCUGUCAUUGUUAGGAGGUUUUCACAUCUAUGCCAGAAUCCAAAGAAAACAGGCCAGCAGAGCAACAGAAAGUAAGGAAGAGGAGGUGGAGGAGGGUCUGUACACCAACCGGGAACAAGAAGACAGAAGGCAUCAUUAGAGGAGAUAAACCAUCAGACUCUCCAACUCACACAACC